This 494-nucleotide ribosomal RNA is filed under the name uncultured bacterium. RNAcentral describes it as "partial 16S ribosomal RNA". It matches the Rfam family "Bacterial small subunit ribosomal RNA", at positions 28 to 507 of the family's 1533-position model. The record is from RNAcentral.
GACGAACGCUGGCGGCGUGCUUAACACAUGCAAGUCGAACGGUGAAGCGCCUUCCUUUUUGGUGGGUGUGGAUGAGUGGCGAACGGGUGAGUAACACGUGAGUAACCUGCCCCCUUCUUCUGGAUAACCGCAUGAAAGUGUGGCUAAUACGGGAUAUUCUGGGUCUGUCGCAUGAUGGGUCUGGGAAAGAUAUUGUUUCGGUGGGGGAUGGGCUCGCGGCCUAUCAGCUUGUUGGUGGGGUGGUGGCCUACCAAGGCGGUGACGGGUAGCCGGCCUGAGAGGGUGGACGGUCACACUGGGAAUGAGACACGGCCCAGACUCCUACGGGAGGCAGCAGUGGGGAAUAUUGCACGAUGGGCGGAAGCAUGAUGCAGCGACGCCGCGGGAGGGAUGGAGGCCUUCGGGUUGUGAACCUCUUUCGCCAGUGAAGCAGGCCUGCCUCGUUUGUGGGUGGGUUGACGGUAGCUGGAUAAGAAGCGCCGGCUAACUACGUG